Molecule: long non-coding RNA, 430 nt
Organism: Cloeon dipterum
Lineage: Eukaryota; Metazoa; Arthropoda; Insecta; Ephemeroptera; Baetidae
Exons: 4
Source: RefSeq, a predicted model, not a curated record
AGUGCGACUCGCGCGUGCGCCCCCGCACCACAGCCACCCCCUCCGAGAAAGACACUCUCAGUUUCGAGCAUCAGUUUUCGUCUGGUCCACAGGUCGAAAACAUGGCAAAAGGAAAAGGUGGAGGCGGCAAAGCCGAUGACAAAAAACCUGCGGCUGGCGGUGCUCCUGCUGCUGGAGCUGCUGCUGGUGGCGGGGCUGCCAAGGGUGGAGACAAGAAAGGAGGUGGCGGUGAAAAGUCUGGAAAGAAAGGAGGCAAGAAAUAAAGACCGCGCUCUUCAGGGACCAAGAAUUCGAUUUUAUCCUCUCAUUAUUUCGCGGAGCAGUAAAACUGAAAAGCUCCGUUCAUCACUAACAUUUUCACCGCAGCAAUAAAAAGAAGAAUUUUGAUUUGUUUAGCAUUUUUACAAUAAAUUCUCGUUUUGCUGUAAUA